CAUUGGGUGGUGGUAACUCAUGAGCUAACUGGACAAUGGGUUAAAAUACUUCAUUAAGUACUAACUUCUGUUGAACAUUGUUUUGCUACAAUCUUUAAGUGGAAUUAUAGUACAUUAAUGUUGGCUUUUCUGUGCUAGAUACUUAAUUUGAGAUGAUGCUUCCAUUUGGAUUACUCCAAAAUAGAAUUAAUAACAAAAUUUAAUUAAUCUGUUUUAUCAAAUUACUUCCUUUUUAAAAGUAUCUAGCAUUUUCAACCAUGAAUAUACACAAUUCUUAUUGUAGCAAAACUCUCUUUUGAUAUGCAGCUGAUCUUUUAGAAUAAAGACUAACUUUAGAUGCUGGUUUCAAACACUGUGGUGGUGUAAGCAUUUCUGUCCAAGGAGAUUUGAGUUUUGUAUGAUAAUACAAAUACAGGUUUCAUAGGAUGUUACUGAAUAGGAAGAGGAGAUUAUUCUGUUAUUUCUCUAGUUUCCCAUGAUGCACCUUUUAUGUUAAUUUAAAAGAUUUAAGUCAUCUUAAAACAGUAAAUUUCUUCUAGAAUCAAUUUCAACAGUGAUUUGGACAUACAGCACGUUCUUGAGUAACUUCAUUUCAUUCAGUGCUGUUUUGCUGUAACAUUGAAGAAAUACCAUAGGGACCUAACUCCUGUUGAUAUCAGUUAGCUAUGGUGAAGUUGGUUGGUUACAUUAUGUGUUCUUUCGCUUAAGUCGCUGAACCUAUUAAUGGCAUUGAGUGAGACCUUACUGUAAUGCCAUUUUUAUUUGCCAACUGGUUGGAUCUGAUUUUUUAAGUACUUUCAGUAAUUUAUAGGACUAUAUUUGGAACUUGUUUCACACUUUGAAGAUAACAUCAUUGGAUGUGAGAAAACAGUUGUUCAUAAGAUUAGUUUCAAGUUUUUCAUGUCUGUAUCUUUGUACUUUUCCAGAUGGAUAUUUGAUUCCAUGUUUCCCUAACACAGUUUCAGUUCUCACAUAAGUAGAAAAAGCUAUCAAAAAAUUUAUGUUGGGUUCCUUAAUUUUAUGAAUAUAUUAAGUUACAAGAGACUUAUUUUUUAUGGAAAAAUAGGUUAACAUAAUGGGUGGUGAUCAGUAUUGUAGUAAGUUUACUAUCAGCUGGACAUUGAAUUAUAAUUCGAAGUUUAAGAUGGAGGGAAAGAUUUUAUUUUUACGCUUUUAAAAUGUCUUAGUUUUAAGUUAAUGUAUUUUCUGAAAAGUAAGUCAUUUUAAAUGGAAGCACUGAACUGUAAGUAAGUUUUGAGGGUACAGGAGCAAAAGAAUAAGUAAGCUCUAUCUGUUAACUGCUGAAGGUGCUGUGGCCUUUGCACUAACAAACCUGGGCCUUUGUUUCACUCUUUCCUAGGCAUAUGUAGCUUUGCUAACUGCUUUUUGCUUUCUCUGGUUUGCACAGAAAUAAUGUCAGCCACUGUAAAGCUUUGGCUAUUGGUGUAAAAAAUAGAAUAAGAUUUUCAUCCUUUCGGUAUUUGGAAAUUCUUACAAAAGCCAUAUGGCUGUUCUUGGCCUAUACAUAGUAUAUAAUUUUUACUGACAUACUUAGCUUUUCAGUGAGAUUCUUAAUUGAACUGCAGUAAAUGGCUGGUCCACUUUAAAAGUUGUGAGUAUAAAGCAUAUUAAACAGACUUACCCAAAAUGUGUUGCUGAAAAUGUAAAGUCAUUGCUCCAGGGAAGUGUUUAUAUUUGAGGAUAAAACAAAAACCUAAUUGAGCAAAGGAAGACACUUUUAUAU
Phyllostomus discolor (pale spear-nosed bat) is the source of this 1744-nucleotide long non-coding RNA. RefSeq lists it as uncharacterized. The record is from RefSeq and is a predicted model, not a curated record. Lineage: Eukaryota; Metazoa; Chordata; Mammalia; Chiroptera; Phyllostomidae. The transcript is spliced from 2 exons.